GAGGCUCUGGAUUGAGGUAUGUUUUCAGUUUCGCGGACGAAACUUUUUGUAGUGGUGGAGGAUGUAGUGUUCCUGAGCUUUGGAUAGGAUUGGCUUCAGUAUUAGUGACUGGUCGACAUCUCUGGAGAGUGUCGGACUGAGUCGGAAUCAAUUCUGCACGAAUUGGAUGCAGAAUUGGACUCGGCGCACUCAAAUAAGCAAAACUAGAGUUUUGCCAGAUUCGGGCGCCC
RNAcentral lists this long non-coding RNA (230 nucleotides) under Ananas comosus (pineapple). RNAcentral describes it as "long non-coding RNA (ACOM_LNC017853)". Lineage: Eukaryota; Viridiplantae; Streptophyta; Magnoliopsida; Poales; Bromeliaceae. The record is from RNAcentral.